Molecule: ribosomal RNA, 253 nt
Filed under: uncultured bacterium
Lineage: Bacteria
Description: partial 16S ribosomal RNA
Rfam family: Bacterial small subunit ribosomal RNA
Source: RNAcentral
UACGAAGGGGGCUAGCGUUGCUCGGAAUCACUGGGCGUAAAGCGCACGUAGGCGGACUAUUAAGUCAGGGGUGAAAUCCCGGGGCUCAACCCCGGAACUGCCUUUGAUACUGGUAGUCUCGAGUCCGGAAGAGGUGAGUGGAAUUCCGAGUGUAGAGGUGAAAUUCGUAGAUAUUCGGAGGAACAUCAGUGGCGAAAGCGGCUUCCUGGACCAGUACCGACGUUCAGGCACGAAAGCGUGGGGAGCAAACAGG